UACAGAGGGGGCAAGCGUUGUUCGGAAUUACUGGGCGUAAAGGGCGCGUAGGCGGCCCGCUAAGUCGAACGUGAAAUCCCCGAGCUCAACUCGGGAACUGCGUCCGAUACUGGUGGGCUUGAAUCCGGGAGAGGGAUGCGGAAUUCCAGUUGUAGCGGUGAAAUGCGUAGAUAUCGUAAGGAAGACCAGUGGCGAAGGCGGGUCUCUGGACAGUUCCUGACGCUGAGGCACGAAGGUCAGGGGAGCAAACGGG
This 253-nucleotide ribosomal RNA is filed under the name uncultured bacterium. Its description in RNAcentral is "partial 16S ribosomal RNA". It matches the Rfam family "Bacterial small subunit ribosomal RNA", at positions 524 to 776 of the family's 1533-position model. The record is from RNAcentral.